AAACGGGGUCUAAUACCGGAUACGACGCACUCUCGCAGUGGGAUGUGUGUGGUAAAGUUUUUCGGCCAGGGAUGUGCUCGCGGCCUAUCAGCUUGUUGGUGGGGUAAUGGCCUACCAAGGCUUCGACGGGUAGCCGGCCUGAGAGGGUGACCGGCCACACUGGGACUGAGACACGGCCCAGACUCCUACGGGAGGCAGCAGUGGGGAAUAUUGGACAAUGGGCGGAAGCCUGAUCCAGCAACGCCGCGUGAGGGAUGACGGCCUUCGGGUUGUAAACCUCUUUCAGUACCGACGAAGCGCCGAUGAUGGUGGUGACGGUAGGUACAGAAGAAGCACCGGCCAACUACGUG
This 350-nucleotide ribosomal RNA is filed under the name uncultured bacterium. RNAcentral describes it as "bacterial SSU rRNA". It matches the Rfam family "Bacterial small subunit ribosomal RNA", at positions 154 to 507 of the family's 1533-position model. The record is from RNAcentral.